This 512-nucleotide ribosomal RNA is filed under the name uncultured bacterium. Its description in RNAcentral is "bacterial SSU rRNA". It matches the Rfam family "Bacterial small subunit ribosomal RNA", at positions 8 to 502 of the family's 1533-position model. The record is from RNAcentral.
AGAGUUUGAUCCUGGCUCAGGACGAACGCUGGCGGCGUGGAUUAGGCAUGCAAGUCGAACGCGAAAGUUUCCCUUCGGGGAAGCGAGUAGAGUGGCGGACGGGUGAGUAACGCGUAGGUGAUUUACCUCUAAGUGGGGGACAGCCCCGGGAAACCGGGAUUAAUACCGCAUGUGUCCGGCAUUAGCCGGAUAAAGAUGGCCUCUGCUUGCAAGCUAUCGCUUAGAGAUAAGCCUGCGUCCUAUUAGCUAGUUGGUUGGGUAAUGGCUGACCAAGGCGAUGAUAGGUAGGCGGCUUUAACGAGUGGUCGCCCACACUGGGAUUGAGAUACGGCCCAGACUCCUACGGGAGGCAGCAGUCGAGAAUAGUCUACAAUGGGGGAAACCCUGAUAGUGCGACGCCGCGUGGAUGAAGAAGCAUUUCGGUGUGUAAAGUCCUUUUCUUAGUGAGCAAUGCCUUUUAGGUUAAUAGCCUGAGAGGAGAGAUACUAGCUGAGGAAUAAGCUCCGCUAACU